UACCUGUACUUCGACUGCCGACUAUUCACACGAGAAUUCCUAAUGAUAACUGCUGCUCAAAGGCCGGAGAUUCUUUAUAUGAGUAACUCCUCUGGUGAUAGCGGGCAUCGAAGGAGGCUACAAACUUUAUAUAUAUUUUCUUGUAAGACGACAGCAGUGAAACUAUGAAGUAUAAACUCUCCGAGAUUUUUUUAGUUAUGUCCAACCAUGGCCUGCUAAGAACCUUGGACAAAGGUGCCCACAUAUCCAAAUCCGACGACGAAGAAAGCUGUUGCUUGGAAGAAGAGAUAGAGGAAGUAGUGAUUCUUUCCAAAGGCCAGAUCGUAGCAACCACAGAAGAACAGGUAGGCUCCAA
Molecule: unclassified non-coding RNA, 355 nt
Filed under: Hevea brasiliensis (rubber tree)
Lineage: Eukaryota; Viridiplantae; Streptophyta; Magnoliopsida; Malpighiales; Euphorbiaceae
Source: RNAcentral